UCUUGAAUCGUAUAGAGC
RNAcentral lists this small nuclear RNA (18 nucleotides) under Arabidopsis thaliana (thale cress). RNAcentral's name for it is "snRNA_08713". Lineage: Eukaryota; Viridiplantae; Streptophyta; Magnoliopsida; Brassicales; Brassicaceae. The record is from RNAcentral.